Molecule: long non-coding RNA, 374 nt
Filed under: Homo sapiens (human)
Lineage: Eukaryota; Metazoa; Chordata; Mammalia; Primates; Hominidae
Description: non-protein coding lnc-SEC16B-2:4
Source: RNAcentral
CUGCAGGCAGUGCCUCCCUCGGGCGUGGGUCUGCAGGAGAGCCGGACAGGGCAGCGGCCGGCACUACCGCGCUGCGAUUUGCGCAGAGCUGAAGAAGCCCCUGACCAUUGAAGAGGUGGCCCCCGCCCCGUCGGGCCUCACGAGGUCAGAGUUGAUGUCCAUUUCUGUGGAGUUAACUUUGGUGAUAUUUUGAUCUGCCGUGAUCAAUAUCAGGAAAGGCCCCAUCUUCCCUUCACACCUGGUAAUAUAGCUGCUGCUGGAAGUGACGAGAAGUGCAAGCUGGCGAUGCAGAGGGGUGCGCAGUCCAGCGUGAACUACAGUCAGGGCAGCCUGAAGGAUGCAGCAUCAGCAUCAACGAGAACAGCAAGUGGGUG